UACGUAGGGGGCAAGCGUGGUCCGGAAUCAUUGGGCGUAAAGCGCGUGUAGGCGGCUUUGCAAGUCGGAUGUGAAAGCCCACGGCUCAACCGUGGAAGUGCAUCCGAAACUGCAUGGCUCGAGUCUCGGAGAGGAAGGUGGAAUGCUUGGUGUAGAGGCGAAAUUCGUAGAUAUCAAGCAGAACACCUGCGGCGAAGGCGGCCUUCUGGACGAUGACUGACGCUGAGACGCGAAAGCGUGGGGAGCAAACAGG
Molecule: ribosomal RNA, 253 nt
Filed under: uncultured bacterium
Lineage: Bacteria
Description: partial 16S ribosomal RNA
Rfam family: Bacterial small subunit ribosomal RNA
Source: RNAcentral